GGCUAGAAGCAGGGGCAAUGAGGGUGAAGUUAGGGUAUUACCGCUCAGAGAGUAAAUGUCACUGAGAGUGAUCUAACCCAACCGGCAUUGCAAGACCCUAAUACUGCUGGGCGCUCUACUUUAUCUACUUGUUUGUAGCCUGAGAAAGUACCAUUUCCUGCGGCCACCUAGAAGAUCCAUUAGGACUGCUGGUACGUCCGGUGUCAACCUAGAAGAUCCAUUAGGACUGCUGAGAUACAAACACUUGGCAGCCAAAGCAAGAGUAGCCAUACAGCUAGAUUUGGGCCAUUAAAGGAGCUGCUGGGUCCUGGGAAUGGAAUAGGCUUAGUUGCUGCGUUUGAGAAGAUCAACGUAUAAGAAAACACACUACUUUAGAGUGCAGAUCAAGCUAUAACAGAAGGAGAGCUGAGUGACAUGAGAUCAAAUGGUGCUGAAUCUACUGACAGAGCUGAGGAAGUCUUCACAGAAGAGGAGACAGUGCUCGAAGAGAUCCUUUAUAGAUCAUAAAGCACGCUGGAAAUGCAGAGUAUGUAAAUUAGUAUUGUUCAAAUAUAAAAGUAUGAGGUUUGUUUUCAGGCAAGUCUGCUCCAUCUUAACAUAUGAUUAGACAGUAAAAGCUGUUUGAGUAAACAGAAUUUCUAGCUAACUUGAAAGCCCAUUU
Long non-coding RNA from Lutra lutra (Eurasian river otter), 661 nucleotides. RefSeq lists it as uncharacterized. The record is from RefSeq and is a predicted model, not a curated record. NCBI's taxonomy places the organism in Eukaryota, Metazoa, Chordata, Mammalia, Carnivora, Mustelidae. The transcript is spliced from 3 exons.